GUUUCUGAAAGUGCUUAGUUUAGUAGCUGUGGUGUACGGAAUAAGAGUGGAAGUCUUCCGAGCAUCUUAUGCUCCCUUCAUGAUGUGUUCCAGGUGGAUUGUUUCUCAGGCUCCUCUCCUUUAUGCCACCUCCCAGGAGGAGGUAACCACAGGUCUUGUGCAGGCAACCAGAGCUGCUGUGGGUUCCUGAGAGCAAGAGUCCUACAAUGUCCGGAAGACACUAUUUUGCAGCAAUCAUCCCCUCCUUCUUCUACGACUUCUACUGAACCUUUGAGGGCACCACCCAGGGGCUUCCAGAAGCCAUCUGCUAUGUGCACAAGAAGAACCUUGGAAUUAGCCCCCCAUCCCCAUGCUGGCACAGUCCAACCUAAUGGCUAACAGGUGUGGAGGACGCAGACAUUCC
RNAcentral lists this long non-coding RNA (403 nucleotides) under Cricetulus griseus (Chinese hamster). RNAcentral describes it as "lncRNA (ENSCGRG00015029012.1)". The record is from RNAcentral. Lineage: Eukaryota; Metazoa; Chordata; Mammalia; Rodentia; Cricetidae.